GACGAACGCUGGCGGCGUGCUUAACACAUGCAAGUCGAACGGAAAGGCCCUGCUUUUGUGGGGUGCUCGAGUGGCGAACGGGUGAGUAACACGUGAGUAACCUGCCCUUGACUUUGGGAUAACUUCAGGAAACUGGGGCUAAUACCGGAUAGGAGCUCCUGCUGCAUGGUGGGGGUUGGAAAGUUUCGGCGGUUGGGGAUGGACUCGCGGCUUAUCAGCUUGUUGGUGGGGUAGUGGCUUACCAAGGCUUUGACGGGUAGCCGGCCUGAGAGGGUGACCGGCCACAUUGGGACUGAGAUACGGCCCAGACUCCUACGGGAGGCAGCAGUGGGGAAUAUUGCACAAUGGGCGGUAGCCUGAUGCAGCAACGCCGCGUGCGGGAUGACGGCCUUCGGGUUGUAAACCGCUUCCGCCUGUGACGAAGCGUGAGUGACGGUAAUGGGUAAAGAAGCACCGGCUAACUACGUGCCAGCAGCCGCGGUGAUACGUAGGGUGCGAGCGUUGUCCGGAUUUAUUGGGCGUAAAGGGCUCGUAGGUGGUUGAUCGCGUCGGAAGUGUAAUCUUGGGGCUUAACCCUGAGCGUGCUUUCGAUACGGGUUGACUUGAGGAAGGUAGGGGAGAAUGGAAUUCCUGGUGGAGCGGUGGAAUGCGCAGAUAUCAGGAGGAACACCAGUGGCGAAGGCGGUUCUCUGGGCCUUUCCUGACGCUGAGGAGCGAAAGCGUGGGGAGCGAACAGGCUUAGAUACCCUGGUAGUCCACGCUGUAAACGGUGGGUACUAGGUGUGGGGUCCAUUCCACGGGUUCCGUGCCGUAGCUAACGCUUUAAGUACCCCGCCUGGGGAGUACGGCCGCAAGGCUAAAACUCAAAGGAAUUGACGGGGCCCCGCACAAGCGGCGGAGCAUGCGGAUUAAUUCGAUGCAACGCGUAGAACCUUACCUGGGUUUGACAUGGAUCGGGAGUGCUCAGAGAUGGGUGUGCCUCUUUUGGGGUCGGUUCACAGGUGGUGCAUGGCUGUCGUCAGCUCGUGUCGUGAGAUGUUGGGUUAAGUCCCGCAACGAGCGCAACCCUUGUUCACUGUUGCCAGCACGUUAUGGUGGGGACUCAGUGGAGACCGCCGGGGUCAACUCGGAGGAAGGUGGGGAUGACGUCAAGUCAUCAUGCCCCUUAUGUCCAGGGCUUCACGCAUGCUACAAUGGCUGGUACAGAGAGUGGCGAGCCUGUGAGGGUGAGCGAAUCUCGGAAAGCCGGUCUCAGUUCGGAUUGGGGUCUGCAACUCGACCUCAUGAAGUCGGAGUCGCUAGUAAUCGCAGAUCAGCAACGCUGCGGUGAAUACGUUCCCGGGGCU
RNAcentral lists this ribosomal RNA (1346 nucleotides) under uncultured bacterium. RNAcentral's name for it is "partial 16S ribosomal RNA". It matches the Rfam family "Bacterial small subunit ribosomal RNA", at positions 28 to 1381 of the family's 1533-position model. The record is from RNAcentral.